Molecule: long non-coding RNA, 883 nt
Organism: Selaginella moellendorffii
Lineage: Eukaryota; Viridiplantae; Streptophyta; Lycopodiopsida; Selaginellales; Selaginellaceae
Exons: 3
Source: RefSeq, a predicted model, not a curated record
GCUGUUGUUCAUCUCUAAAGGCUCGUUUGUUCGUUUGUAUGUGAAGCUUGAGUUUGUCUAACAUUUUGUUCUUCUUCAGCUUUCAGAGUCGGCGUGCUUUGAUUAUUUUCCCCUUUUUUCCUGGUCUUGGCUACAUCCGCUUCUGUCCGCUCCAGCUAAGUGGCGCAUGCAAAUGCGUUAGCACCGCCAUUGUCAACGAGCCACAAAGUCCCACCCGCUUAUCUUCGUCACGAUCGAUACUUCUUUUCGGUAUUCAACGCGUAUACUAUUCUCGCGGCGCAGCUUCGUUGGUGGAGAAAGAUUGGAUUGGACGCGAGCCGCGAGAAAAGUGGGGAAGAACGUAGGCUGCCGACACUCCGCUGUUUCACGUAGAACCACUGCCAGAGUCGUCUCCAGGAACCUCGCCCCAGAAGUUUCGUGAGCGGAGAGCUCAAUUCAAAGACUACUACAGGUAUACAGUCCCGCGACUGUAGAUAAAAGCGCUGCUUCAGCUGGCCUUUGGAAUGGAUCCAAGGGUCAACCACGUUUCGUUUUCAGGGGCCAGGGGGCGUAUGAACAACGAAGAAAACGCGUCCGGCAUAACACCAGUGGUGUUGCUUGGGCGGAGAGAAUUUUCUAAUGGCGGCGUGGUUUCCCAGCUCCAGUUGGAUUUGCUUCGUGGCGAGCGGCGGUGGGACAACACGACACGGUCCUCUUCGUCGUUGAAAAGGGAAGGAAGCUGCCAUUAAACGAGGAGAAAGAAAGAAGAGAAGCAAAGAACUUGUGGUCCGCGCGUUGAAAGUUUGCGAAUGGUGGACGAGACGACUGAGACUGGCGACUUGAGAGACAAUUCACGAAGAUAUAAAAAUUUAAAAUAAAAAGAAACAACUAAAAGAGGAAGAAA